RNAcentral lists this ribosomal RNA (462 nucleotides) under uncultured ammonia-oxidizing beta proteobacterium. Its description in RNAcentral is "bacterial SSU rRNA". It matches the Rfam family "Bacterial small subunit ribosomal RNA", at positions 202 to 647 of the family's 1533-position model. The record is from RNAcentral. Lineage: Bacteria; Pseudomonadati; Pseudomonadota; Betaproteobacteria.
AAGCAGGGGAUCGUAAGACCUUGCGCUUUUGGAGCGGCCGAUGCCUGAUUAGCUAGUUGGUGGGGUAAGGGCCUACCAAGGCGACGAUCAGUAGUUGGUCUGAGAGGACGACCAGCCACACUGGGACUGAGACACGGCCCAGACUCCUACGGGAGGCAGCAGUGGGGAAUUUUGGACAAUGGGCGAAAGCCUGAUCCAGCAAUGCCGCGUGAGUGAAGAAGGCCUUCGGGUUGUAAAGCUCUUUCAGUCGAGAAGAAAAGGUUGCGACUAAUAAUCGCAACUUAUGACGGUAUCGACAGAAGAAGCACCGGCUAACUACGUGCCAGCAGCCGCGGUAAUACGUAGGGUGCGAGCGUUAAUCGGAAUUACUGGGCGUAAAGGGUGCGCAGGCGGCUCUGUAAGUCAGAUGUGAAAUCCCCGGGCUUAACCUGGGAAUUGCGUUUGAAACUACAAGGCUAGAGU